AACCUCCGCAAUGUGAGAAAUCGCGACGGGGGGAUCCCAAGUGCCAUUCUUAACGGGAUGGCUUUUCAUUAGUGUAAAGAGCUUUUGGAAUAAGGGCUGGGCAAGACCGGUGCCAGCCGCCGCGGUAACACCGGCAGCUCUAGUGGUAGCAGUUUUUAUUGGGCCUAAAGCGUCCGUAGCCGGUUUAAUAAGUCUCUGGUGAAAUCCUGUAGCUUAACUGUGGGAAUUGCUGGAGAUACUAUUAGACUUGAGACCGGGAGAGGUUAGAGGUACUCCCAGGGUAGAGGUGAAAUUCUGUAAUCCUGGGAGGACCGCCUGUUGCGAAGGCGUCUAACUGGAACGGUUCUGACGGUGAGGGACGAAAGUUGGGGGCGCGAACCGGAUUAGAUACCCGGGUAGUCCUAACUGUAAACGAUGCGGACUUGGUGUUGGGGUGGCUUUGAGCUGCUCCAGUGCCGAAGGGAGCUGUUAAGUCCGCCGCCUGGGAAGUACGGUCGCAAGACUGAAACUUAAAGGAAUU
RNAcentral lists this ribosomal RNA (520 nucleotides) under uncultured bacterium. Its description in RNAcentral is "bacterial SSU rRNA". It matches the Rfam family "Archaeal small subunit ribosomal RNA", at positions 345 to 866 of the family's 1478-position model. The record is from RNAcentral.